GAUCCGUUGGUGAACCAGCGGAGGGAUCAUUACAGAGUUUUCACAACUCCCAACCCUUGCGAACCGUACCCAUUCUGUUCUCGUUGCUUCCGGCGGGGGGGACGGGGGGGCCCGAAACGGCCUCCCCGCCCCGCCCGCCGGGGGCGGCGGGCCCUACGAACCUUUAUAUCUCAACCACCAGAAACCGUCUGAGAAAACAAACAAAAUAGCCAAAACUUUCAACAACGGAUCUCUUGGCUCUG
RNAcentral lists this unclassified non-coding RNA (242 nucleotides) under plant metagenome. RNAcentral describes it as "partial contains small subunit ribosomal RNA, internal transcribed spacer 1, and 5.8S ribosomal RNA". The record is from RNAcentral.